Molecule: ribosomal RNA, 372 nt
Filed under: uncultured organism
Description: bacterial SSU rRNA
Rfam family: Bacterial small subunit ribosomal RNA
Source: RNAcentral
CGGAGGGGGCUAGCGUUGUUCGGAAUUACUGGGCGUAAAGCGCACGUAGGCGGCUUUGUAAGUUAGAGGUGAAAGCCCGGGGGCUCAACUCCGGAAUUGCCUUUAAGACUGCAUCGCUGGAAUUGUGGAGAGGUAAGUGGAAUUCCGAGUGUAGAGGUGAAAUUCGUAGAUAUUCGGAAGAACACCAGUGGCGAAGGCGACUUACUGGACACAUAUUGACGCUGAGGUGCGAAAGCGUGGGGAGCAAACAGGAUUGGAUACCCUGGUAGUCCACGCCGUAAACGAUGAUGACUAGCUGUCGGGGCGCUUAGCGUUCCGGUGGCGCAGCUAACGCGUUAAGUCAUCCGCCUGGGGAGUACGGCCGCAAGGUUA